Zalophus californianus (California sea lion) is the source of this 421-nucleotide long non-coding RNA. RefSeq lists it as uncharacterized. NCBI's taxonomy places the organism in Eukaryota, Metazoa, Chordata, Mammalia, Carnivora, Otariidae. The record is from RefSeq and is a predicted model, not a curated record. The transcript has 3 exons.
UUUUUCACCACAGUUUACAGAUCAGCAAGUGGAUAAGAAAACGCCUCGUCUAGUCAGAUGCUGGCCAAUCCCGAGCUCUAGUCCACCUAGGGCCCCGCCCACCACUGAGGACAGGCCAGUCGCUUUGAGACUGGUGAGAGAGUCUGUGGGUUUGAGCGCUGCACAGAAGGACCCCAGCAGAAAUACAAUGGGUCUAGAAUGAGGGUUCAGAUGGAAAUGAAGUCCGAGGAGUGAGAGAGACCAGGGUUUGGAUCUUAGGAAAGAAGGCAUCUAAAAAUAUUACAAGAUGUUCAGCCCAUUACGUGGUGCACAGGAGAUCAAAACAAAGCAAAACAAAACACCAACUGCAUGACCCAGGCUCUACCUCCUAGGAAUGCACGAUGUAUUAAUUUUGAUGAUAUCAUUAAAGGCUCAGAAUUUU